This 459-nucleotide long non-coding RNA is filed under the name Androctonus crassicauda. Lineage: Eukaryota; Metazoa; Arthropoda; Arachnida; Scorpiones; Buthidae. The record is from RNAcentral.
CAAUUUUUAUAAAUAAUGUUAAUUGACGUUAAAAGUAACCUUUUACUUAACUUAAAAUGGAAAAAAUUAAUAAAUAUAAGAAAAACAACACCUUAGAAACAAUAAUGUGGCUUUAUUUACCUAUAAUAUAUUUUUAUAGAUUAAAAACGAUUGCAAAUGUAUUAAACUAUGCUGAAAGUUGGAAACUUCAUGGCGACUUUGUACCACGUGACCAUAAGAACCAAUCACAGUUAACUCGCCAUUGUCCACACUGUAGUUAAUAUAGUCACUGUAGUGUCGACUAAGGUCACUCUGUGUUCCUAUAGAGAAGUAUGGACAUAACCUUGAAUACCACCAUGUUUGAGACAUCUAGUCUAACGCGAAGGUUAGAUAUAGAUACCGAUUCAGAUCAGAAUUCCGUUUUUCCCGUUAUAUUAUACAUAAUUAAAAUUGAUACGAAGGUAGCAAUCAUAUUGGUUA